GCUAGCACCAAGGAUCCAUUUUAGAGAGCCAGGUGAAUGUAUGCCCAGGACCAGUCUCUGGCCCCUUCGCCCCUGGACAGUUAUUUGGUGUCCACAGUAAUAUGCUGGACAUUAGAUAUAAAUGAAUAAAACACAGUAUAAAAAACAAGAUGUAUUUUGUCACAUACACCAGUGACAUGUCUUGUUUUACAGGCUCAUUUUUGAUUGUUACUUUUUUUUCAAGUAUCUGUCUUCCCCAAACAAGCAUUGCAGAGCUGGCUACAAUCUCAAUUUCAUCCCCCUGAAAAGAUACAACAAAUAUUACAAAAACUAUUAUGGCACACACACACACGCGCACACACACACACCGGCCUUCCACUCCCUAAUGUGCUGGUUGAUAAAAUACCUGUAUUUAUGGGAAAUAUGUUUGAAGAGGGUAUUUUGUUCUUAAAUUAUAUUGUAAAUUGCAAUGGUAGAGUUAUGUUCUUCAUGGAGUUAUCAGAAUUGUACGGGAAUGGCUGCUCAAUCCAAGAGUACAACCAAUUGAUUACAGCAUUGCCCCAAAAAUGGAGGAGGCAGGUGGCAGCGGGAGGAGGUAGAGAACUGGUCUGUCUGCCCAAUAUAAAGGAUCAAAACUGGAGGAGGUAGGGAACUGGUCUGUCUGCCCAAUAUAAAGGAUCAAAACUGGAGGAGGUAGGGAACUGGUCUGUCUGCCCAAUAUAAAGGAUCAAAACUGGAGGAGGUAGGGAACUGGUCUGUCUGCCCAAUAUAAAGGAUCAAAACUGGAGGAGGUAGGGAACUGGUCUGUCUGCCCAAUAUAAAGGAUCAAAACUGGAGGAGGUAGGGAACUGGUCUGUCUGCCCAAUAUAAAGGAUCAAAACUGGAGGAGGUAGGGAACUGGUCUGUCUGCCCAAUAUAAAGGAUCAAAACUGGAGGAGGAGGGUGGCAGUGGGAGGAGGUAGGGAACUGGUCUGUCUGCCCAAUAUAAAGGAUCAAAACUGGAGGAGGAGGGUGGCAGUGGGAGGAGGUAGGGAACUGGUCUGUCUGCCCAAUAUAAAGGAUCAAAACUGGAGGAGGAGGGUGGCAGUGGGAGGAGGUAGGGAACUGGUCUGUCUGCCCAAUAUAAAGGAUCAAAACUGGAGGAGGAAUAAAAAUAGCAUAAAUAGUAAAGAAUACCAGUUUCAUUUGAGGACCAGGAUGUUGUGAACUGUGCCAUACAGCUUGGAAAAUAGUUGGGAAGAGGGUGUAUGGUACAGGGUGUAUGGUACAGGGUGUAUGGUACAGGGUGUAUGGUACAGGGUGUAUGGUACAGGGUGCAUGGUACAGGGUGUAUGGUACAGGGUGUAUGGUACAGGGUGUAAGGUACAGGGUGUAUGGUACAGGGUGUAUGGUACAGGGUGUAUGGUACAGGGUGUAUGGUACAGGGUGUAUGGUACAGGGUGCAUGGUACAGGGUGCAUGGUACAGGGUGUAUGGUACAGGGUGCAUGGUACAGGGUGUAUGGUACAGGGUGUAUGGUACAGGGUGUAUGGUACAGGGUGUAUGGUACAGGGUGUAAGGUACAGGGUGUAUGGUACAGGGUGUAUGGUACAGGGUGUAUGGUACAGGGUGUAUGGUACAGGGUGUAAGGUACAGGGUGUAUGAGUUGAUAUAUAAAACAACGCAAGGUUCAAGACUUUGUGCUUUUCAGCUAAACUUAUUAUAUUGAAUUCUUGCCACAAACAAAAUGUUGAAUAUUUGGGGCAUAAAAUCAUCGAAGCUCUGCAGAUUUUGUUGUGAGGAUACAGAAUCAAUACACCAUUUAUUUUGGCCUGUUUCUGCUCUCAGGUUCAGGAAUGGCUGAAAAUGCAUAGCAUUGAUCUAAAAUUGACCCUAGAAAUAGUAGAGAUCUGGAGAGACCGGGUCAGUCAAUUCCAUUCGAUUAGAUAGAUUGAAAUUGUACGUUAAACAUCAUA
Long non-coding RNA from Oncorhynchus keta (chum salmon), 1933 nucleotides. RefSeq lists it as uncharacterized. Lineage: Eukaryota; Metazoa; Chordata; Actinopteri; Salmoniformes; Salmonidae. The record is from RefSeq and is a predicted model, not a curated record. The transcript has 4 exons.